GCAGGGGAUAGACCGGGCUGCUGGGCGUAGCCUGUAACCGCAAACCGUCUUCAUGGCGGGGUCGAAGCCCGAGCAAGGUUUAAUCAUUCAGAACCGGCCCUUGCGUCCAACUGCGAAGCUCUGCCCUGCAGGAUCGUUUUCAUGGUGAACCUGGUCAGGCCUUGACGGGAGCAGCCAUAAAGACGUGACGCCGUGAAAAUAGUCCGGCGUCCUGUGCAUGGAAGCUAUGCUGAUGAUGCUUGCAGGAUUCAAGAGUGGAGAAGGGCGUCUGGAUAAACCGGAUUUGGGCGGUUUUACCGAACCAGGGUGUUCUCCUGC
This 318-nucleotide signal recognition particle RNA is filed under the name Candidatus Aenigmatarchaeota archaeon. RNAcentral describes it as "signal recognition particle sRNA". It matches the Rfam family "Archaeal signal recognition particle RNA". The record is from RNAcentral. Lineage: Archaea; Nanobdellati; Candidatus Aenigmatarchaeota.